Bombus pascuorum is the source of this 744-nucleotide long non-coding RNA. RefSeq lists it as uncharacterized. The transcript is spliced from 3 exons. The record is from RefSeq and is a predicted model, not a curated record. Lineage: Eukaryota; Metazoa; Arthropoda; Insecta; Hymenoptera; Apidae.
UCCCAAUAAAAGAAGUGAAUGCUAAUUAGAGAUUUGUUUCACUCUCUGAAUAUUAUAUUAAAUACUUUACAUUGAAUAUCUUUUGUACAUCUUUGCACAUUUAAUUUUCCUGUAAAUACAAUAACAUUUACCGCCCAUCAAUAAUAUUUUACAUCCUAACCUCUUCAAAAAGCCACACAACAAAUCUUAUAACACGAUUAAUUACAAUACCAUUCCCCAAUAGGUACAUUACAGAUAAACAACGGAUUUUUAUAUUACAUUUAGGGGUACAAAAAUCUACAGACUGUAUAUAAUCCAGAAAAAUAAUAAAAUAUCCAAUGCUCUGUCCAAAGUAUUCUUUUUUAAUUUUUAUUGGAUGAAACAAAUUUCUAUGUGCACAAGAUUAGGUGAUUCACCCAGAGUACAAAGAAAGGGUGGAGGUGGGGUUAAGGUGGAGGUAUCGCGUUGCCGUCACGGGCACGUCGACCCGUGCUUUGUCCACGUGACAGCGAUAGGGCCCAUUUAUGUCGAGAACACACACUCCACGCCAACGUUAUAAUGGAGGAUAAAUCCAGCCGAAAAGACCACAAUACAUACAUCGUUCCGUCGUAGCAUUAACCGGUAAGCUACCGGAUAUUAUCGGUUCUAUGUGGAUGGUUUUAUAUAUUUCUGUAUGUACGUUUGGAUGUGUAUGUAUAUAACGUAAAUUGUAUAGUAUAGGGAAUGUAAUAUUUUUAGCAUGGCGUGAUGAAAGAAAAGUUUUAG